UGCUAUCAUUUGCCAAUCUGACGGGUC
RNAcentral lists this non-coding RNA (27 nucleotides) under Mus musculus (house mouse). Lineage: Eukaryota; Metazoa; Chordata; Mammalia; Rodentia; Muridae. The record is from RNAcentral.